RNAcentral lists this long non-coding RNA (293 nucleotides) under Zostera marina. Its description in RNAcentral is "long non-coding RNA (ZMAR_LNC000631)". Lineage: Eukaryota; Viridiplantae; Streptophyta; Magnoliopsida; Alismatales; Zosteraceae. The record is from RNAcentral.
AUCAUUAUCAGAAAUGGCUCAGAUGCGGCUAAACUCAGCUACACUCAUUGUCCUUUCGAUUCUUUUAUUAUCGAUCAGUUCAAAUGGGAAUAGUUUUACUAUCAAAGAUGAUGCUUGUCCACAUCCAAAUGUUUCAUUCAAUAGCUUUUGUAUUAAAUGGGUUUGCGAAUUUCAAUGUCAUGAAGAUGGCAAGGAAUCCGGUAAAUGCGUUGGUGGUCUUUUAACAGCAAAGUGUUGCUGUAAUAUUUAAGUUAUGCAUUUUAUGAUUUUAAAUCAUGUUUAUUUUUCCAUGG